Molecule: ribosomal RNA, 500 nt
Filed under: uncultured bacterium
Lineage: Bacteria
Description: partial 16S ribosomal RNA
Rfam family: Bacterial small subunit ribosomal RNA
Source: RNAcentral
AUUGAACGCUGGCGGCAUGCCUUACACAUGCAAGUCGAACGGUAACGGGUCCUUCGGGAUGCCGACGAGUGGCGAACGGGUGAGUAAUAUAUCGGAACGUGCCCAGUAGUGGGGGAUAACUGCUCGAAAGAGCAGCUAAUACCGCAUACGACCUGAGGGUGAAAGGGGGGGAUCGCAAGACCUCUCGCUAUUGGAGCGGCCGAUAUCAGAUUAGCUAGUUGGUGGGGUAAAGGCCUACCAAGGCAACGAUCUGUAGUUGGUCUGAGAGGACGACCACCCACACUGGGACUGAGACACGGCCCAGACUCCUACGGGAGGCAGCAGUGGGGAAUUUUGGACAAUGGGCGCAAGCCUGAUCCAGCCAUACCGCGUGGGUGAAGAAGGCCUUCGGGUUGUAAAGCCCUUUUGUUGGGAAAGAAAUCCAUCUGGUUAAUACCCGGGUGGGAUGACGGUACCCAAAGAAUAAGCACCGGCUAACUUCGUGCCAGCCGCCGCCGUAA